RNAcentral lists this ribosomal RNA (535 nucleotides) under Tainopteron sp. MTEC023638. Its description in RNAcentral is "partial large subunit ribosomal RNA". The record is from RNAcentral. Lineage: Eukaryota; Metazoa; Arthropoda; Insecta; Coleoptera; Lycidae.
UCGCCUGUUUNNNCAAAAACAUAGUUUUUUGAUUAUAAUUUAAAAUUUAAUCUGCUCAAUGAUUAAUUAAAUUGCCGCAGUAUAUUGACUGUGCUAAGGUAGCAUAAUAAUUAGUUUCUUAAUUAGGAACUGGGAUGAAUGAUUGGACAAGAAAAUUUCUGUCUUUUUUAAUGAUUUUUUGAAUUUUAUUUUUAAGUGAAAAAGCUUAAAUUUUUUUAAAAGACGAGAAGACCCUAUAGAUUUUUAUUAUUUAAAUUAUUAUUAGUAAUUGAUUUAUUUUAAAUAAUUUGGUUGGGGUGACUUGGAGAUUGAAAAAAUUCUUUAAAUUUUAAAUUAAUGAUUUUUAAAUUUAUAAUCUAAUUUUUUAAAAUAAAUUUAAUUACCUUAGGGAUAACAGCGUAAUAUUUCUUAAAAGUUCUUAUUUAAAGAAAAGUUUGCGACCUCGAUGUUGGAUUAAAUUUUAUUAUUGGUGUAGUAGCUUAUUAAUUAGGUCUGUUCGACCUUUAAAAAUUUACAUGAUCUGAGUUCARACCGG